RNAcentral lists this long non-coding RNA (3272 nucleotides) under Equus asinus (donkey). RNAcentral describes it as "lncRNA (ENSEASG00005037953.1)". The record is from RNAcentral. Lineage: Eukaryota; Metazoa; Chordata; Mammalia; Perissodactyla; Equidae.
GCACGCAGAGGUCUUAAAUCAGGUGAGAUCAGCUCAUAUUAUCAUAUUUUGGCACAAAUGUGAUUUUCCCAGCACACUGGGCUGGGGAGGAGGGUGGCUCUCAGCCCCUCAUGGCUGACUAAGUGGCACAGAUGAGGUUGGGCGAAGGGCCCACCAGGCUACCCAGCUGUCUUCAUAGGCCUUUAUCAGAAGGCUGGGAGGAGAUAGUCCUUCUCGUUUAUAAUCCAUGCUGUUUAAUCUGGUCUGAUUAUGACAACAACCGACAUUCUUAUUGCAAUUUGCAAGACACUUUACCUUACACUGUUUAAUGUAACUCUUGUAUGUAUUACACUCAUACCCAUUUUACAGAUGAGGAAAUAGAGGCUCAGGGGGAGAAGACGGUGGUGCAGCCAAGAGCCCUAGCUGUGAAAUCAUCUGAUGAGUUCCAGCCUUGGGUCUCCAGUUAGCUGCGGUGUCAUCUUGGACAAACUGCUUAAAUCUUUGUAUUUCUACUUUCUCAUCUGUGAAAUGGGGAUAAUGAUGGCUCUUCCACAGGGUUGUGGGGAGGGUGGCUCAGAAAGUGCAGGUAAAGCACUGCACUCAGUGCCUGGCAGGGAAGCCUCUCCUCUUAUGCAGUAAAUGCCUGAGCGGUGACUUGAGCCAGGUCUUCCGAUGCCACAGUUUGAACUCUUUCAAUAGAGUGGUGCUGGCUCUUAAUUUUUUAUGUUACACACUUCUGUUGGCUGCUAGCCCUGGAAAGCACGUGCACACUCACACAUACACACAUGCACACCUCUCUACCUUCUUAUUCUCCUGUAUCCCAGUCUCAGAAUUCAAGGGAAGGCGGGAACCCGGUUUAUUGCCAGAUGGAAAGUACCUACCACAGAAAGAAGCCUCCCUUCGUCUCUUUCCAGACCCAGAGCAGCCAUUUCGGUCCAGGUACAUCUCAAUGGUCUCAGGAGGGUGAGGGGAAAGCACCACUGACAAUCGCCCUAUUAGGUUGGCCCUGGGUGCAGAAUGUAUGUCUAACAGAAUGUACGUAUGUAGUCUUGUCCCAUUCCCCAUCCUCUUGGAGAGACAUGGGUCCCAGAAAAAAUCAAGUGAAAGUCUUCUUUGUCCUCUUGGAGGUGGGCCAAGGGCUUCUUUCAAGGACCUAUGCACUUCACAGGCCCUUUGGGAUUGGUGGCAUCGGUCACAUGGUAGCUGGUGACUCUGGAGUGGGUCCAGACUGUCCUAUGAGUUACUUUAAUCUGACUACAAGUUCUCUCUCUCAUCUACCCUCCACCCCCAGCAGGGAGGCCCCAGGGGGCCAGGACUGCACGUCUCUAGGAGAUGUGGCUGUGGUGGAGUUGUUGGUAAUUUGAGGACCUCAGCUGGUGAGAACACUGGCUUUUGAGAAGCUCAGUCCUCAUUUUCCUAAGCCCCACAAUCAGGUUCUCUCCAUUCUCAACUACACAUGCCAUGUGCUUGUUCAGGGCCAGGUGCUGGCUAAGCUCAGGGUUGCAGUGGAAAGAACAUGGGCUGGAAGUGAAUCCUUGGCUCUGCUCUGGCAGCACGUGAGCUCUCUUCCCUCCAGACAAUUGCUCACCCUCUGAGCCUCAGUUUCCUCAUUCAUAAAAGGAGGAUAGUAAGAACUACUGUCAGUGUUGUAAUGUUAAAUGAGAUACGCUACGAUAAACACCCAGCACAGAAUCUGGCCCCUGUUGAGUGCCCCACAAAUGUCAAUCCUUUGCUGUUCCAAGAUUUUCCCAGCCUCUGUCAAAAAUUCUGUGACUUUAGUGGCCAAAUAUGUUUAUACUGUGUACUUGUAGUAGAGACAGUUGGAAAUCCUUUUACUGGGUUAUGAGUUCCCAGUUUCUCUAAGUGUUGGCUGUUAACAGCUCAUAACUGCUGCCUGUGAUCUGGAGAAUUGCCCUCAGCUAAAAGAGAAGUCACAUCAUCCGGAGGUUAUACGCCCUAUGCACCCCUCACCCGUUGGGGCAGCCCAUAGACUACAGUAACUUACUGUCACCAGGUACAGAAGAAUGGACCCCUGCCUUAAGGUGUGACCACCUCUGGUGGUUUUGCAAUUCUUGCAUCAGACUGCUUGAGGGAUAAGGCUGAAACCAGACUCUCGCUCAGCCCGCAUCCUUGCUUAGCAUCUUCCCCUGCCGUAGCCUGCUUCCUUCAUUCUCUCUGUCCAGAGAACACUCCCACAAUAAAUCACCACAUUCAAUCCCUUCUAAAUCUUUGCUUCUUGGGAACACACCUUAUGGCAGAUUGUAUGCCAUUUUUCCACUUGCAUAAUUUAAAAACACAUUAUAUUCUUGCAUCCCUGCCCUCUGGAUAUUGUAUGGAUAGGAAUCCCCAGCCUCUUAUAAUGCAAUGUAUGGCUGGAAAUUCCCAAUUUAUUGGGAGUCGAGACUCAGUCUAAUGAGAUCAAGCGUGUGUGUGCUUGGUUGAUCUCAACAAUACUUUAAAUUUCUCCUGAGUCUUAGUCAUUAUCCAUGGCCACUUGCUCCAUUCUCACAAUAAUGUCAUCUGGUCAAAGCAUCAUCAAUUUCCUCUGCUGUUCCUCUGAAUGCUCCUCUUUUCCUUAGAUAGCAGUUGAAUGCCCACAAAAAAGUGACCAGAGCUAUUGGCCUGGCCUUUGCUGAUUUCUCAUAUGUUAGUGUUUACCUGGGCUCUGAGAAAAUUAUAUCUGUUGCUCAAAUGGUAUAUUGAAGUGUAACAUUUUAGAGCCAGAAGGGACAGCCUCAAGGAACCAAGCCCAGUGGUCCUCAACUGGGGGUGAUUUUGUCCGUUAGAGGACAUUUGGCAAUGUCUGGAGACCUCUUCGGUUGGCACACUGGAGAAGGGGUGGUGACUUCUGGCAUCUGGUGGCUAGAGUCCAAGGAUGCUACUAAACAUCCCACAAUGCACAGGGCAUCUGCCUGAAAUGAAGAAUUAUUCAACUCAAAGUGUCAGCAGUGCUGAGGUUGAGAAACCCUGGUUCAUUCUACCACCUUGGUAUCAGGGAGGUGACUGAGGACUCCGGAUGCUGCAGUGGCAGAAUUAAAACCUGAGUUUUACUUUCUACUGAUCUUGCUGUCUCUUUAUGUUGUCAUAGGAUCAGGCCUAUGUAGGAAGUGUGUGAUGACAAUCUUUCUACAGAAUAAAAAUCUCCUAGAGCCAGAACCUGUCAAGAAAUUCUUAUUUCUAAGUGGACACUCAUGAGGUAUCCAUGCCAGUGUGGCGAAUUACUCUCCCUGCAAAAAAAAUAUAAAUUAUGAUACUCAACUUUGAUAUUUGUUUCUAGUCCUUUAACAGACCCA